This 88-nucleotide transfer RNA is filed under the name Paphiopedilum philippinense. Its description in RNAcentral is "tRNA-Ser". It matches the Rfam family "tRNA". From Rfam's summary of the family: Transfer RNA (tRNA) molecules are approximately 80 nucleotides in length. The record is from RNAcentral. Lineage: Eukaryota; Viridiplantae; Streptophyta; Magnoliopsida; Asparagales; Orchidaceae. RNAcentral also lists the same sequence under 3 other names.
GGAGAGGUGGCUGAGUGGACUAAAGCGUCGGAUUGCUAAUCCGUUGUGCGAAUUUUUCGCACCGGGGGUUCGAAUCCCCCUCUCUCCG